Molecule: ribosomal RNA, 497 nt
Filed under: uncultured bacterium
Lineage: Bacteria
Description: partial 16S ribosomal RNA
Rfam family: Bacterial small subunit ribosomal RNA
Source: RNAcentral
GAUGAACGCUGGCGGCGUGCCUAAUACAUGCAAGUCGAGCGAACAGACGAGGAGCUUGCUCCUCUGACGUUAGCGGCGGACGGGUGAGUAACUCGUGGAUAACCUACCUAUAAGACUGGGAUAACUUCGGGAAACCGGAGCUAAUACCGGAUAAUAUAUUGAACCGCAUGGUUCAAUAGUGAAAGACGGUUUUGCUGUCACUUAUAGAUGGAUCCGCGCCGCAUUAGCUAGUUGGUAAGGUAACGGCUUACCAAGGCAACGAUGCGUAGCCGACCUGAGAGGGUGAUCGGCCACACUGGAACUGAGACACGGUCCAGACUCCUACGGGAGGCAGCAGUAGGGAAUCUUCCGCAAAGGGCGAAAGCCUGACGGAGCAACGCCGCGUGAGUGAUGAAGGUCUUCGGAUCGUAAAACUCUGUUAUUAGGGAAGAACAAAUGUGUAAGUAACUAUGCACGUCUUGACGGUACCUAAUCAGAAAGCCACGGCUAACUACGUG